CCGUUCUAAAAAAAAAUCAAUUAAUCUUGCUAUCACGUGAUACUGAAUGAUAUCAUUUGUUUCAUAACUUAUCAUGGUCGGAGGGGAUAGUCAGUCAGUUUUAUUUUACUUUUUGAUUCCAAAAGCAUCUAUUCCCAAGAUACAUACUCUUAAUCAAUUAUUACAAUAAUAUUCUCCAAUAGUGUACUAAUUAUCUAUAUCCUGGUAGAAAAAAAAUUAAUUCCAGUUAUUUGGAAAUAAACUGUCCGACGAACUCGUUCAGGUUCCUCUCCGAUGCCCCGCCGCCNNN
RNAcentral lists this long non-coding RNA (289 nucleotides) under Oryza brachyantha (malo sina). RNAcentral describes it as "long non-coding RNA (OBRA_LNC001332)". The record is from RNAcentral. Lineage: Eukaryota; Viridiplantae; Streptophyta; Magnoliopsida; Poales; Poaceae.